GACGAACGCUGGCGGCGUGCUUAACACAUGCAAGUCGAACGGAAAGGCCCUGCUUUUGUGGGGUGCUCGAGUGGCGAACGGGUGAGUAACACGUGAGUAACCUGCCCUUGACUUUGGGAUAACUUCAGGAAACUGGGGCUAAUACCGGAUAGGAGCUCCUGCUGCAUGGUGGGGGUUGGAAAGUUUCGGCGGUUGGGGAUGGACUCGCGGCUUAUCAGCUUGUUGGUGGGGUAGUGGCUUACCAAGGCUUUGACGGGUAGCCGGCCUGAGAGGGUUACCGGCGACAUUGGGACUGAGAUACGGCCCAGACUCCUACGGGAGGCAGCAGUGGGGAAUAUUGCACAGUGGGCGGAAGCCUGAUGCAGCAACGCCGCGUGCGGGAUGACGGCCUUCGGGUUGUAAACCGCUUUCGCCUGUGACGAAGCGUGAGUGACGGUAAUGAGUAAAGAAGCACCGGCUAACUACGUG
This 468-nucleotide ribosomal RNA is filed under the name uncultured bacterium. RNAcentral describes it as "partial 16S ribosomal RNA". It matches the Rfam family "Bacterial small subunit ribosomal RNA", at positions 28 to 507 of the family's 1533-position model. The record is from RNAcentral.